This is a non-coding RNA of Hemiscyllium ocellatum (epaulette shark), 73 nucleotides long. The record is from the annotation of a RefSeq genome assembly. Lineage: Eukaryota; Metazoa; Chordata; Chondrichthyes; Orectolobiformes; Hemiscylliidae.
GCCUGGCUAGCUCAGUCGGUAGAGCAUAGGACUCUUAAUCCCAGGGUCAUGGGUUUGAGCCCCACGUUGGGCG